GAUGAACGCUGGCGGCGUGCCUAAUACAUGCAAGUCGAGCGAACGGACGAGAAGCUUGCUUCUCUGAUGUUAGCGGCGGACGGGUGAGCAACACGUGGAUAACCUACCUAUAAGACUGGGAUAACUUCGGGAAACCGGAGCUAAUACCGGAUAAUAUUUUGAACCGCAUGGUUCAAAAGUGAAAGACGGUCUUGCUGUCACUUAUAGAUGGAUCCGCGCUGCAUUAGCUAGUUGGUAAGGUAACGGCUUACCAAGGCAACGAUGCAUAGCCGACCUGAGAGGGUGAUCGGCCACACUGGAACGGGGACACGGUCCAGACUCCUACGGGAGGCAGCAGUAGGGAAUCUUCCGCAAUGGGCGAAAGCCUGACGGAGCAACGCCGCGUGAGUGAUGAAGGUCUUCGGAUCGUAAAACUCUGUUAUUAGGGAAGAACAUAUGUGUAAGUAACUGUGCACAUCUUGACGGUACCUAAUCAGAAAGCCACGGCUAACUACGUG
This 497-nucleotide ribosomal RNA is filed under the name uncultured bacterium. RNAcentral describes it as "partial 16S ribosomal RNA". It matches the Rfam family "Bacterial small subunit ribosomal RNA", at positions 28 to 507 of the family's 1533-position model. The record is from RNAcentral.